AUUGAACGCUGGCGGCAUGCUUUACACAUGCAAGUCGAACGGUAACAGGUUAAGCUGACGAGUGGCGAACGGGUGAGUAAUGCAUCGGAACGUGCCCGAUCGUGGGGGAUAACGCAGCGAAAGCUGCGCUAAUACCGCAUACGAUCUGAGGAUGAAAGCGGGGGACCGUAAGGCCUCGCGCGAUCGGAGCGGCCGAUGUCGGAUUAGGUAGUUGGUGGGGGAAAGGCUCACCAAGCCAACGAUCUGUAGCUGGUCUGAGAGGACGACCAGCCACACUGGGACUGAGACACGGCCCAGGCUCCUACGGGAGGCAGCAGUGGGGAAUUUUGGACAAUGGGCGAAAGCCUGAUGCAGCAAUGCCGCGUGCAGGAAGGAGGCCUUCGGGUUGUAAACUGCUUUUGUACGGAGCGAAAAAGCUCUCUCUAAUACAGGGGGCUCAUGACAGUACCGUAAGAAUAAGCACCGGCUAACUACGUGCCAGCCGCCGCAGUAA
RNAcentral lists this ribosomal RNA (493 nucleotides) under uncultured bacterium. Its description in RNAcentral is "partial 16S ribosomal RNA". It matches the Rfam family "Bacterial small subunit ribosomal RNA", at positions 29 to 523 of the family's 1533-position model. The record is from RNAcentral.